Molecule: ribosomal RNA, 468 nt
Filed under: uncultured bacterium
Lineage: Bacteria
Description: partial 16S ribosomal RNA
Rfam family: Bacterial small subunit ribosomal RNA
Source: RNAcentral
GACGAACGCUGGCGGCGUGCUUAACACAUGCAAGUCGAACGGAAAGGCCCUGCUUUUGUGGGGUGCUCGAGUGGCGAACGGGUGAGUAACACGUGAGUAACCUGCCCUUGACUUUGGGAUAACUUCAGGAAACUGGGGCUAAUACCGGAUAGGAGCUCCUGCUGCAUGGUGGGGGUUGGAAAGUUUCGGCGGUUGGGGAUGGACUCGCGGCUUAUCAGCUUGUUGGUGGGGUAGUGGCUUACCAAGGCUUUGACGGGUAGCCGGCCUGAGAGGGUGACCGGCCAAAGUGGGGAAGGAGACCGGCCCGAGACCCCUGGGGGGGAGAGAGGGGGGAAAUUGUGCAAAGGGGGGGGAGCCGUGAUGCAGCAGCGCGGGGGGGGGGAAGGGGCCUUGGGGGUGAAACCCGGUUUCCCCGUGUGAAGAGGGGGGGGUGAGGGAAGUGGGAAAAAAAGCCCGGCAAACCUCGGC